GCAUGCACAAGAUUGAUCGAAAUUUUUUGUUUAGGCACCUUUUAUUUUUUCUUUUUCGAUUAUUUUAUGCUUUUUGGAAUUUGUUGGUCCAUUUUGGGACGAUAUUUGAGGUUCAACCUCCGUUAGACUAAAUAACCGGGUGAGGGUUACCCAACUUAGAAGGUCUAGUUUCCUUUAUUUCCUUUUCAUCAUUUUGGUGACCAAAAUUAUUUGUUUCUCAACCAAUCAUACAUACAUGCAAGUUAAAUUAUGACAGGCUGUCAAUAUAAAUUAAUCAGGAAAUACUUCUCAGAGUCGAGUAUUAUGGCACAAAUCUACACGUUGGACUCACGUCCUUACUUCGGGAUACCUAAGGUGUUCGGGUAAUACCUAAGCUUGCAAACUUUUCCAAUGUCCCUAGUCCUAGUCUUUCUUUCCUUAAACUCUAUAUACUUUCUCGUUUUCCCCACAACUGAAGCUUGUCAUAAAAAAAUAAAAUUCACGGUCUUAGUUUUGGGAAAAUCUACAAAAAAAUGGUCUUAAUGAAUCAAUCAAACUAAAAAAUAUCUAAAACAAGGAAGAAACAAAAACAUAAAAGUGCAAGAAAUAAAAAUAAUAAGAAAGCAAGAAAAAAU
RNAcentral lists this long non-coding RNA (614 nucleotides) under Lathyrus oleraceus (garden pea). RNAcentral describes it as "Pisum sativum (pea) long non-coding RNA (PSAT_LNC007686)". Lineage: Eukaryota; Viridiplantae; Streptophyta; Magnoliopsida; Fabales; Fabaceae. The record is from RNAcentral.